Molecule: ribosomal RNA, 585 nt
Filed under: Porphyra purpurea
Lineage: Eukaryota; Rhodophyta; Bangiophyceae; Bangiales; Bangiaceae
Description: SSU rRNA
Rfam family: Eukaryotic small subunit ribosomal RNA
Source: RNAcentral
GGGGCCUUUUAGGUUUUCUAAUCGGAAUGAGAAGAAUUUAAACCUCUCACCGAGGAUCCAUUGGAGGGCAAGUCUGGUGCCAGCAGCCGCGGUAAUUCCAGCUCCAAUAGCGUAUAUUAAAGUUGUUGCAGUUAAAACGCUCGUAGUCGGAUAUCGGGGCGCGGACACAGAAGCGGCUCCGGUUGCAGCUGUGAACGGUCUGCCCCUAAUUCUGGGACGCGGUGUGCGGGACUUUACUGUCUCUGCGCACCUGCGGGCCGGACGUUUACUGUGAAGAAAUUARGGUGUUCAAAGCAUGCGUUCGCUAUGGAUACGUGAGCAUGGAAUAAUAGAAUAGGACUUGGGCUCUAUUUUGUUGGUUUCCGGGGACCAAGUAAUGAUUAAUAGGGAUAGUUGGGGGCAUUCGCAUUUCAUUGUCAGAGGUGAAAUUCUUGGAUUGAUGGAAGACGGACUACUGCGAAAGCAUCUGCCAAGGAUGUUUUCUUUGAUCAAGAACGAAAGUUAGGGGAUCGAAGACGAUCAGAUACCGUCGUAGUCUUAACCAUAAACUAUGCCGACUGGAGAUUGGCGGGGAUUUGUUGUAUG